Molecule: transfer RNA, 77 nt
Filed under: Candidatus Thorarchaeota archaeon
Lineage: Archaea; Promethearchaeati; Candidatus Thorarchaeota
Description: tRNA-Ala
Rfam family: tRNA
About the family: Transfer RNA (tRNA) molecules are approximately 80 nucleotides in length. Their secondary structure includes four short double-helical elements and three loops (D, anti-codon, and T loops). Further hydrogen bonds mediate the characteristic L-shaped molecular structure. tRNAs have two regions of fundamental functional importance: the anti-codon, which is responsible for specific mRNA codon recognition, and the 3' end, to which the tRNAs corresponding amino acid is attached (by aminoacyl-tRNA synthetases). tRNAs cope with the degeneracy of the genetic code in two manners: having more than one tRNA (with a specific anti-codon) for a particular amino acid; and 'wobble' base-pairing, i.e. permitting non-standard base-pairing at the 3rd anti-codon position.
Source: RNAcentral
GGGCCGGUAGAUUAGCCCGGAAGAUCGUCUGGUUUGCAUCCAGAAGGCCGCGAGUUCAAAUCUCGCCCGGUCCACCA